GGAAUAUUGGACAAUGGACGAAAGUCUGAUCCAGCCAUGCCGCGUGCAGGAAGAAUGCCCUCUGGGUUGUAAACUGCUUUUAUAUGGGAAUAAACCUCUCCACGUGUGGAGAGCUGAAUGUACCAUACGAAUAAGCACCGGCUAACUCCGGGCCAGCAGCCGCGGUAAUACGGAGGGUGCAAGUGUUAUCCGGAUUUAUUGGGUUUAAAGGGUCCGUAGGUGGGAUUGUAAGUCAGUGGUGAAAUCUUUCGGCUCAACCGGAAAACUGCCAUUGAUACUGCAGUUCUUGAAUAUGCUCGAGGUAGGCGGAAUAUGUCAUGUAGCGGUGAAAUGCAUAGAUAUGACAUGGAACACCGAUAGCGAAGGCAGCUUACCAGAUCAUUAUUGACACUGAGGGACGAAAGCGUGGGGAGCG
RNAcentral lists this ribosomal RNA (415 nucleotides) under uncultured bacterium. Its description in RNAcentral is "bacterial SSU rRNA". It matches the Rfam family "Bacterial small subunit ribosomal RNA", at positions 358 to 770 of the family's 1533-position model. The record is from RNAcentral.